GAUGAACGCUGGCGGCGUGCCUAAUACAUGCAAGUCGAGCGAACAGAUGAGGAGCUUGCUCCUCUGACGUUAGCGGCGGACGGGUGAGUAACACGUGGAUAACCUACCUAUAAGACUGGGAUAACUUCGGGAAACCGGAGCUAAUACCGGAUAAUAUAUUGAACCGCAUGGUUCAAUAGUGAAAGACGGUUUUGCUGUCACUUAUAGAUGGAUCCGCGCCGCAUUAGCUAGUUGGUAAGGUAACGGCUUACCAAGGCAACGAUGCGUAGCCGACCUGAGAGGGUGAUCGGCCACACUGGAACUGAGACACGGUCCAGACUCCUACGGGAGGCAGCAGUAGGGAAUCUUCCGCAAUGGGCGAAAGCCUGACGGAGCAACGCCGCGUGAGUGAUGAAGGUCUUCGGAUCGUAAAACUCUGUUAUUAGGGAAGAACAAAUGUGUAAGUAACCAUGCACGUCUUGACGGUACCUAAUCAGAAAGCCACGGCUAACUACGUG
Molecule: ribosomal RNA, 497 nt
Filed under: uncultured bacterium
Lineage: Bacteria
Description: partial 16S ribosomal RNA
Rfam family: Bacterial small subunit ribosomal RNA
Source: RNAcentral